UCUGUACAAAAGCUAUCCCAUAGAACCUCGGAUGGCAUUAUACCCAAGUAGAGAAUUCGAGCAUUCAAUGUGCACGAACUAUUGAAGGUUUACUGUCGUGGGGGCAUGAAUUGAUGCAAAAACAAAGCCAACCCAGUAUUCCAGAAAAUGAUUAGUUAUUACAAAGCAAAGGCAGUACAUACGACUUUACACAGCAUGUGUGCUGGUCACCAGGGGGCAUUUUCUCCAGAGAGUGACUUGAAAGACUAUUAGUUGUGUAUAUACAUGGGUCAGGAGUGACAAGGAACACAAACCGACUUAACUCUCAGCCUUUUCUACCACUGUUAAGUAUUCUAUGCAAAUGGAAACCUUCACCUU
This 357-nucleotide long non-coding RNA is filed under the name Nicotiana benthamiana. RNAcentral's name for it is "long non-coding RNA (NBEN_LNC002002)". Lineage: Eukaryota; Viridiplantae; Streptophyta; Magnoliopsida; Solanales; Solanaceae. The record is from RNAcentral.